AAGCUUAAUACAAAGUGUUGAAUGUUUAUAUCAAGUUGAAUAAAUAAUGAUUUAAAUAAAAAAUGAUAAUUUUUUUUUUUUCGAUUUUUUUAAAUGGAGAUGCAUACAAAGAUAAAGUAAUUUGAUUAUUAGCAAAUCUAAAUAGUACCAAUAAAGAAAUAUUUUCUAUUCGAAGAGAUUAAAAAAAACCAUCAUACAAUUAUAAAAAUAUUAACAAGAUUAUUAUUGUUAAUCGCAAUACUAAUUGCUAUUCUUCAACUGGUAUAGCCAACAGUAUUAUAUAUCAUAAUCAACAUAAUACCAAUAUUAGUAAGUUAAACAAGUGGAGAUGUUGUACAGAAAGUUCAAUUACUCUAUGUAAGUAAUAAGACUUAAAAAUAAUAAGAAUUAUGUUUAAUUAAAUUAAUGAUUAGUAUUGAUUGUUUUAUAAUUUAAUGAAUAUUGAUUUGUUUAUUACAUUAGAAUUGUAUUAUAUUUUUAAUAUUAAAUUAUUUUAGUUGCAUUGUUAAAUGAAAAAAUAUAAUGAAGGAGAAAAAAAAAGUCAAGAGAAAAAUAUCAAGUUGGGGCACAAGGUAAAAAUAAUAAAAAAUAUUUUUUCCCGGGGUGAAGAGUAUUCAACCUGGGAAUGUAGGAACUGACGUGUUAGUAGUGAGCUGACAUUGAGUAUUAAAAAUUUGUAGUCUAUUUCGAUUUGAAAAGGCUAUGGAAUGAUUAGUACUGAUGAGAGAAAUAUAUUAUAGAUGAGUAAUGUAUAAUAUAUGAGUCGCAGGUAAAUACAUGUUUUUACGAUUGAAAUAUAACGUUUUAUUUGAUUGUAAAUGUAGUGUAUUUAGUGUAGUCAAUUUUGACAAUAUGUGUUGAAUUGAUAUUUACACGAAUGUUAAAUAUAAGAGGUUGUUGUAUUAUUAUGGUUUCCAAAGAAUUAUAUGUGAUAAGUAUUAAUGUAUGACUCUACAUUGUUAUAUAGUAGUUAUGUUGUUUAUAUAUAUUUAUAUGUAUAUAUAUGAUAUAUAUAUUAUUGUAUAAUGGUGUUUUGGGAGCGUACAAUGUUGGAAUAUUUCGUAACCAUUGUUGAAAAGAAAAAGUAAUAAUUUUUUAUAAUAUAUUAUUAUUAUUAUUAUUAUAUUAUUAUUACUUUAUAUUCAAGGUUAUGGGGUAUUUUUACAAUGUAGUUUUAAUACUAUCUUAAAUUGCUAGUUAAAUUAAUAUAUUUUUCUUAUUAAUUAACUGGAUAAGAAAUUUUUAUGAUAUUUUUAUACAGUUUAUAUAUUAUAUGUAUAUAUAUGUUGUAUAAAUAAUAUAUAUUCAUUAAUGAUUUCUUAAAUAAUUCUUUUGUUUAUUAUAAAUAAUAGACAUAAAUGUAUUCAAUGUUAAUAAUAUGUAUAUUAUAUAUGAUAUAUAAUAUAUAUAAUAUAUAUGUUACAUGUAUAUAUUUGUAUAUAUUAUAUAUAUAUAUAUAUAACACAUAUUAUUAAUAUGAAUGAUAGU
This 1488-nucleotide unclassified non-coding RNA is filed under the name Cryptosporidium parvum. RNAcentral's name for it is "partial external transcribed spacer". The record is from RNAcentral. Lineage: Eukaryota; Apicomplexa; Conoidasida; Eucoccidiorida; Cryptosporidiidae.